RNAcentral lists this ribosomal RNA (269 nucleotides) under uncultured archaeon. Its description in RNAcentral is "partial 16S ribosomal RNA". It matches the Rfam family "Archaeal small subunit ribosomal RNA", at positions 719 to 982 of the family's 1478-position model. The record is from RNAcentral.
AGUCACUGACAUUAGAUACCCGGGUAGUCCAGGGUGUAAACGCUGCCGACUUGGUGUUGGAGGCCCUUCGGGGGCAUUCAGUGCCGGAGAGAAGUUGUUAAGUCGGCCACUUGGGGAGUACCCCCGUCCGCAAGGAUAGAAACUUAAAGGAAUUGGCGGGGGAGCACCGCAACGGGAGGAGCGUGCGGUUUAAUUGGAUUCAACACCGGAAACUCACCAAGGGCGACUGUUACAUGAAAGCCAGGCUAAUGACCUUGCUUGAUUUUCAG